AACGAACGCUGGCGGCAUGCCUAACACAUGCAAGUCGAACGAGACCUUCGGGGCUAGUGGCGCACGGGUGCGUAACGCGUGGGAACCUGCCCUUAGGUUCGGAAUAACUCCCCGAAAGGGGUGCUAAUACCGGAUAAUGUCAUCGGACCUAAGAUUUAUCGCCUUUGGAUGGGCCCGCGUUGGAUUAGCUAGUUGGUAAGGUAAAAGCCUACCAAGGCGAAGAUCCAUAGCUGGCCUGAGAGGAUGAUCAGCCACACUGGGACUGAGACACGGCCCAGAAUACUAGGGGAGGCAGAAGUAGGGAAUAUUCGGGAAUGGACGGAAGUCUGACCGAGCAACGCCGGGUGAGUGAAGAAGGUUUUCGGAUCGUAAAGAUCUGUUGUAAGAGAAGAACGAGUGUGAGAGUGGAAAGGUCACACUGUGACGGUAUAGUACCAGAAAGGGACGGCUAACUACGUG
Molecule: ribosomal RNA, 459 nt
Filed under: uncultured bacterium
Lineage: Bacteria
Description: partial 16S ribosomal RNA
Rfam family: Bacterial small subunit ribosomal RNA
Source: RNAcentral